This 3202-nucleotide long non-coding RNA is filed under the name Daphnia pulex (common water flea). Its description in RNAcentral is "uncharacterized LOC124203913". The record is from RNAcentral. Lineage: Eukaryota; Metazoa; Arthropoda; Branchiopoda; Diplostraca; Daphniidae.
AGAUAUCGCACGGACGGACGCCUAACAACGCCAGCUGGACGAUCCUUCGACGGACGUAGUCUGGCAGUGGCCGUCCAUUGACGAAUACGCCACCCAAUUGGUUGACCCCGGCUUGACCUGUUCAUAUUCCACCAAUAAUAAACCUGUAUGGGGCAUGAUCCAGCGACCGGAAUCCAGCAGUUUAAUAAGGGGCGGAUGACGAGCUAUGAACGAGGGGCGGAAAAAUGACGUCCUGCUGAAACGAUCGAAAUGGGAUUGUUUGAAUAAUACAAAUUCUCCGGAUGAUUGAAAUUUUACCUUUUUGAAAUUGGCGAUGUAUGAAAAUCCGCACAAAACUGGAGAACUCACUUUAAUUACUUGCGACGCAGACGACCGAGUGAACCGACAAGAGCGGCCGGAAUUGCAGCGAUUUGGACUUUUAUAGAUGCGCGGUGAAGAAGUGAUUUCGGAGGAGGAUGAGGCGCCACCAAUCACCGGCGUAUCGGUUUCUGGAGGGGGGCAUAAACGAAACGGCUUUCAAAAGGACCGCACACACACACACACACACGGGUGAGAAUGGGCGUUGAUAUUUCUGCCGCCUAUAAAUUUCUUUAUUCGCGUUGCGUCUGCGUGUCUCAUCUGACGUCAGCAUUUGCCCAGCAGCAGCACAGUCUCAACGUCGCCAGCGUAAACUAUAAUAGUCCCAAGCAUAGCCGGAACUGCACCAACUCUCUUUACAGCUCCGCCCUGUCUCCUUCUUCCGGACAAGACUCCGCCCCACGACUGGAGGGUCACGGAACCAACCGCAAAUCUCAUCCGAAAACUUUUCUGAGCCACUCCCCCCCUCUCCAACCCCGGAUCCAUUUCUAUAUGUGCUGCACAAACAUCAUCAAAUCUAAGCUAAAGACAAUCAUUUUGCCAUGAUUCGCAUCAUUCGAAAUGGUGUGUCUAUUUGGCGAGAGGAAGAAGAAAUUACCGGAUGGCAUCCAUCGGAAGUUGCGGAUCUGUGGCUUAUACACAACCUCCCCCGAGAUCCCCCCCAAAAAGUUCAUUUACUCGGCCUAAACCUUUUGAUAAUUAUCUCUCUCCUAUAACCCGCGAAGCACUGAUUGUCGUCUUACUUAUAACCUAACCAAACAGUCCAUACGGAAUUUAUAUCUUUUUUUAGACAAUAACAAAGCCAUUCAUCAAGUCUCAUCGCCGGACCCCCCCUAUCCAUAUCCGCUCCUAUACAGGAAGGUUCCGAAGAGGGGGUAAAAAAGGCUCUUUUGUGUGUCAGAUGAGAAGAGUAUUGGCUUGAUGAUUCGCUGGAAAAACGCCGUUUGCGCUGUACACAAGAGCUGCUGGGCCGCGCCAACUGUCCAAUCGAUCAAGUCGUCGCGCACAGUAUAUAGUUACCUCACUAAAUAAAUCGAGAGAGAGAGAAAAAAAAAGGCGACAGCUAUAAUAUUCUUUUGGGUUGUAUACACACACAAUAGGAGCAGAGAGAGACUGUUGAAUGUGCUACGAGUAUAUUAUACACACAUCAACAUACACAAGAGAAGAAGAGUAGUCAGUUAUUUGGUAAGGGGGGCGACAAAGUUACCGAUCCGGAACAUGGAUACCCUCAUCGACUUAUAUGGUAUAUCCCAACAAUGACACGCAGUCAUAUGCGAUGUCACUUGAAAAAAAUAAAAGAGAGGAUAGCAGAGACUGUUGUAUAUCCUAUUGCUAAAUGUAUUUGAUACGAUUUUUCUUUUAUGUUCUAAAGUUGAGAGCUGUAGUUGAUACUCCCUAUUCAAACGGGGUCACAUUUAUAUAACUACAGACGCGCUCUCAGCACAGAAGUGGAAAAGGUUUUUUUCUGCUAUGACGACGUAAUAGUUGAUUUCGAUUCCGGUGCGCUCUGGCUGCAUCGGCAGAGUGAAGAAAAGUUUCCUUCUUCGCGCGUAUCAGGCGCCGGCCAAACUCUCCCUGGAGGAUCCCAGCAUCGGACAAUGUAGUAUAGCAUUCGGGGCUAGUUUGAGCUCUCUGUCCUCCUUUGACACACUCCCGACGUCUGCUGCUGUGAGUGUCAUCGGUGCUCUCAAUGUAAUCGGGAAUUCAUAAACCCACUCGCUCCGUGGAUUCAAUUCCGUCCUGCAUGGUGGUGGUGGGUGGGUGAGAGAAACUCUCUGCCGAAAAGAAAAAAACCCAUUUUCGUUAGCUCUUUUGUCAUCCGGAAAUUGACUGCUGGCCCCUUUAACAAAACAUUAUUUCUCGUCUAGAGCUAUAUAGCAGGAGCAGGAGCAGCAGCCGCUGGCGCAGUUAUUCAAGCGCGGGAUUUUAUAAUUACGGCGAUAGCCAUCGUUUUGUUGAGCCGCAAAAGACGACGGCGACAAUUGAAAAUAGAUGCGCCGCCUUUAUAUGUGAAGAGCCCGCGCCAUUAUGGAGGUGUAAUCCGGACUGGUGUGUUUGUGUCUAUCCCUAUCUGUUACGACACCAACAAUAUGAGCCGCGGACGCCUUAUUGGAAACUCUCUCUAACCCCGGGCGGACAACAGUCGAGAUAAGCAGAACGUGAGCGUUGACAGCACACACACAGCAGCGGAGAUGAUCUGUUUGGUCCUUUCGAAUUGUUGUUUGCUAUUUUUUUUCCCGGGCUGCUCUCAAGUGUUGGAUAAUCGAGGAGCGUGUUCACAAAAGGAGCAAACGCGGUAUAUCGAUCAUUACAUGAAUGAAAUAACAACUCGACGACCCUUCAUAUCUCCCCCCCCCCCCUUUCUAUUGUGAGAGUCGAUGGGAGUCGGCCGGCCGUAACCAGCAACCUAUAUAAUAGAACUGACACUCUUUUUUUUUUUUUGAAACAGGGGGACCGACGACAAUGGCCGCCAUCCUCGCAUUGGGUUUUUGGUCGUAUAUAAAUCUCAACGAGAUGAGCGGUGCUAUAUAAAUGUUUGCGCUUGGCUCUCCCCAACAUCACAUCAUAAGUCGAUGUAAGUGCUGUGUAACGACACAUCAAAAUAAUCCAAUACAUUUGGAGAGAUGGAUUAGUAUAGGGGAGCAUUAUUUGAGGUUUAGGAUAUUUCUUUAAUCUAUUGGUAUAUAGAUUCAAAGUCUUGUGGGGGUUCAUUUGGUUCGACGCGAAGAAAAUCACAAAGUCGUGAAAUCUAAUUUUGAAAUUGGCGGUUUAAACGUGCAAAGAAAUGUACGCCAUUUUGUUUAAAGAAAAGGGUAAGAAUAAUUCGUUAAUGUUUGUUAUGAAA